AGAGUUUGAUCCUGGCUCAGAUUGAACGCUGGCGGCAGGCCUAACACAUGCAAGUCGAGCGGAAACGAAGAGGUGCUUGCACCUCUGGCGUCGAGCGGCGGACGGGUGAGUAAUGCUUGGGAAUAUGCCUUAUGGUGGGGGACGACAGUUGGAAACGACUGCUAAUACCGCAUGAUGUCUACGGACCAAAGUGGGGGACCUUCGGGCCUCACGCCAUAAGAUUAGCCCAAGUGGGAUUAGCUAGUUGGUGAGGUAAUGGCUCACCAAGGCGACGAUCCCUAGCUGGUUUGAGAGGAUGAUCAGCCACACUGGGACUGAGACACGGCCCAGACUCCUACGGGAGGCAGCAGUGGGGAAUAUUGCACAAUGGGCGCAAGCCUGAUGCAGCCACGCCGCGUGUGUGAAGAAGGCCUUCGGGUUGUAAAGCACUUUCAGUAAGGAGGAAAGGUUAAGUGUUAAUAGCACUUAGCUGUGACGUUACUUACAGAAGAAGCACCGGCUAACUCCGUGCCAGCAGCCGCGGUAAUACGGAGGGUGCGAGCGUUAAUCGGAAUUACUGGGCGUAAAGCGUACGCAGGCGGUUUGUUAAGCGAGAUGUGAAAGCCCCGGGCUCAACCUGGGAACUGCAUUUCGAACUGGCAAACUAGAGUGUGAUAGAGGGUGGUAGAAUUUCAGGUGUAGCGGUGAAAUGCGUAGAGAUCUGAAGGAAUACCGAUGGCGAAGGCAGCCACCUGGGUCAACACUGACGCUCAUGUACGAAAGCGUGGGGAGCAAACAGGAUUAG
RNAcentral lists this ribosomal RNA (784 nucleotides) under uncultured marine microorganism. RNAcentral's name for it is "bacterial SSU rRNA". It matches the Rfam family "Bacterial small subunit ribosomal RNA", at positions 8 to 781 of the family's 1533-position model. The record is from RNAcentral.